This is a long non-coding RNA of Gossypium arboreum, 888 nucleotides long. RefSeq lists it as uncharacterized. The transcript is spliced from 2 exons. Lineage: Eukaryota; Viridiplantae; Streptophyta; Magnoliopsida; Malvales; Malvaceae. The record is from RefSeq and is a predicted model, not a curated record.
GUUAUUGCCUUGAUAUUAAAUGAGAUGUAAUUUUAUAUGUAAGUAAUACAUCAAUUUUACUUGUAUUAUGAUAUUUUAUAAUAAUAUUGGAAAUAUGUUUGUUGAUAAUUACUUGAUUGGUGAAAUUGUUGGAAAAGAGAGAGAAAUCCCGGUUGAACCUUCGGAAAGAUUGAAUGAUACAAAUGGUACGUAGCUAGGUCACAUGUAUGGUGCUGAGUGCACAUCAUGUGUACAAGAAAGUUACGAGACAUUAUAAUGUAGCUAGGUCGCAUGGGUGAUACUAUGUGUACACCAUGUAGACAAGAGAGCUACGGGAUAUAUGUAGCUAGGUCGCAUGCGUGGUUCCAGGUGAAGGACACCAUGUAGACAAGAGAGCUACGAGAUAAACUGGCUAGGUCACAUGGGUGGUACUAAGUGUUCACCAUGUGUACAAGAGAGUCGAACUAUAUGAUGGGUGGAGCUAUGUGCUGAAACCACCAAGUAUCGAGUAUUGAUCCGAAGUGUUCAACAGGAAACUUACUAUGUACUGCUUUGUGAGUUUGUCAGGAAUAAGUGCAGGAACUUGGUUAUGUGAAUGAUGUGUUCAUUAAGUGAUUGGGAUGUGGCAAGGUUAUAAACAAUGUUGUCAGGUUGGCUCGGGGUUGGAGAUCGUCGGAAGUAUCAUCACACUAUUAGUUUAUCAAAUUAGAAUAAUGGUAAUUCUUAUUUAUUGUCAAAUAAGUGGCAUGUAUAGAUAAUAAGUUAUUGAUAUUAGGUAAUAUUAUGAUUUAGCCAAAUGUAUAGGCUCAUUUUGCUUCAUUGUAUAUAGCCAUAAGAUUUGGCUCAUAAUGGUUAAAGUUAUGUAAACCUAUUUUAUGUAUGCAUAGAUAAAUAUCUUGGUGUGGCUAA